UUAAGUUCAGCGGGUAGUCCUACCUGAUUUGAGGUCAAGCUUAAAGUUGUUAUGCCUCUUAGGAGACAGUCCGAAGACAGUUAGAAGCCGAACACAAGUCCACAGCAACGGCAUAGAUAGGAUUAUCAAACCAAAGCUGGUCCUUAACAGUUCCGCUAAUGCAUUUAAGAAGAGCUGAUAGUGAUACCAGCAAGCUUCCA
RNAcentral lists this unclassified non-coding RNA (200 nucleotides) under Clavariaceae sp. Its description in RNAcentral is "partial internal transcribed spacer 2". Lineage: Eukaryota; Fungi; Basidiomycota; Agaricomycetes; Agaricales; Clavariaceae. The record is from RNAcentral.